This 453-nucleotide ribosomal RNA is filed under the name uncultured bacterium. RNAcentral's name for it is "bacterial SSU rRNA". It matches the Rfam family "Bacterial small subunit ribosomal RNA", at positions 526 to 978 of the family's 1533-position model. The record is from RNAcentral.
CGGAGGGUGCGAGCGUUAAUCGGAAUAACUGGGCGUAAAGGGCACGCAGGCGGUGACUUAAGUGAGGUGUGAAAGCCCCGGGCUUAACCUGGGAAUUGCAUUUCAUACUGGGUCGCUAGAGUACUUUAGGGAGGGGUAGAAUUCCACGUGUAGCGGUGAAAUGCGUAGAGAUGUGGAGGAAUACCGAAGGCGAAGGCAGCCCCUUGGGAAUGUACUGACGCUCAUGUGCGAAAGCGUGGGGAGCAAACAGGAUUAGAUACCCUGGUAGUCCACGCCCUAAACGAUGUCGAUUAGCUGUUGGGCAGCUUGACUGCUUAGUAGCGAAGCUAACGCGUGAAAUCGACCGCCUGGGGAGUACGGUCGCAAGAUUAAAACUCAAAGGAAUUGACGGGGAUCCGCACAAGCGGUGGAUGAUGUGGAUUAAUUCGAUGCAACGCGAAGAACCUUACCUGG